ACGGGGUGCAGCAGGCGCGAAAACUUCACACUGUGCGAAAGCACGAUGAGGGAAUCCCAAGUGCUUGCUCGUAAGAGUAAGCUGUUUCUCUGUCUAAAACACAGAGAGAGUAAGGGCUGGGUAAGACGGGUGCCAGCCGCCGCGGUAAUACCUGCAGCUCAAGUGGUGACCAUUAUUAUUGGGCCUAAAACGUCCGUAGCCGGUUUAGUAAAUGCCUGGGUAAAUCGUGUAGCUUAACUAUACGAAUUCCGGGUAGACUGCUAAACUUGAGACCGGGAGAGGCUAGAGGUACUCCUGGGGUAGAGGUGAAAUUCUGUAAUCCUGGGGGGACCACCAGUGGCGAAGGCGUCUAGCUAGAACGGGUCUGACGGUGAGGGACGAAGCCCUGGGGCGCAAACCGGAUUAGAUACCCGGGUAGUCCAGGGUGUAAACGCUGCUUGCUUGAUGUUAGUUGGGCUCCGAGCCCAAUUAGUGUCGGAGAGAAGUUGUUAAGCAAGCUGCCUGGGAAGUACGGUCGCAAGACUGAAACUUAA
This 533-nucleotide ribosomal RNA is filed under the name uncultured archaeon. Its description in RNAcentral is "bacterial SSU rRNA". It matches the Rfam family "Archaeal small subunit ribosomal RNA", at positions 325 to 859 of the family's 1478-position model. The record is from RNAcentral.